ACGAUGAGAACUAGAUGUCGGGAGGAUUUAGCCUUUCGGUGUCGCAGCUAACGCAUUAAGUUCUCCGCCUGGGGAGUACGCCGGCAACGGUAAAACUCAAAGGAAUUGACGGGGACCCGCACAAGCGGUGGAGCAUGUGGUUUAAUUCGAUGCAACGCGAAGAACCUUACCUGCCCUUGACAUUGACAGAAUCCUGUAGAGAUACGGGAGUGCCUUCGGGCCUGGAAAACAGGUGCUGCAUGGCUGUCGUCAGCUCGUGUCGUGAGAUGUUGGGUUAAGUCCCGCAACGAGCGCAACCCUUAUCCUUAGUUGCCAGCGGUUCGGCCGGGAACUCUAGGGAGACUGCCAGCGACAAGCUGGAGGAAGGCGGGGACGACGUCAAGUCAUCAUGGCCCUUAUGGGCAGGGCUACACACGUGCUACAAUGGCCGGUACAGAGGGCUGCAAACCCGCGAGGGGGAGCCAAUCUCAGAAAGCCGGUCGUAGUCCGGAUCGGAGUCUGCAACUCGACUCCGUGAAGUCGGAAUCGCUAGUAAUCGCGAAUCAGCAACGUCGCGGUGAAUACGUUCCCGGGUCUUGUACACACCGCCCGUCACACCAUGGAAGUAGGUUGCACCAGAAGUAGGUAGUCUAACCCUCGGGAGGACGCUUACCACGGUGUGGCUUAUGACUGGGGUGAAGUCGUAACAAGGUAACCGUA
Molecule: ribosomal RNA, 699 nt
Filed under: uncultured bacterium
Lineage: Bacteria
Description: bacterial SSU rRNA
Rfam family: Bacterial small subunit ribosomal RNA
Source: RNAcentral